GCCCCACGCUAAGCCGGCCAGGCCACACCCCGAGUCCCCUCCUCCCCCUGCCCUCCGGCCUCGCUGGCCCCCUCUCCGGCCCCAGGCCCCAGCCCUGCCUGUCCGCAGGUUAGCAUUGGCUGUCCGACCGCCUGCCUGCAGUGCUGCUCCCCCAGGAAGCAGGCCCCCCGCCUCACGUCCUCCAGGGUUUGUGUCUGGGGCUCCUCCGAGGGCCCAUGACGACCCACCUAGAACCCCCCCAGCACCCACUUUAUUUCGCCGGCGGGGACGAGCGUUCAGUGACUCACUGUCGCGCAGAUGCUGCUGACGCGGGGUCCAGAUACAGGAACGGGGAGUGUAGGGACGGAUUUCACCGUUUCAGCUGCUCGGCCGUGGAUCCCGUAACACAGGGGCCUCGCGUGGGUCCGAUUUUCGGAGAAUCCACCCCAAAACCUCUGCCUCCGACUCCUCUUCCAGAGCAGACCGUUAGCGGCCUCGACUGUAUAAAGUCCUUCAGGUUAUCGAGGGCUUGUCGAUUUCUAUUUGGGAACUUACGCUUCCGGAGAGAGUCGUGCGUGGGACCCGGGCCGCGUGCUUUGUGAGGUUGCGGCCCCAACUCUCCACACCCCACCUCCGUGGCCUGACAUCCAUCUCCGCUUUUCCUUUGUCUGUGUCUGCGUUCAGUAUGUUAUUCUUUCCUCAAAUCUUUAAAUGACGUGCCUGGUUUAUGUAAUUCCAAUCUUUUUUGGUAUCUAAAAUACUUUUAAUCCCAAAGGUGUUGCUUGGACGGAAUCCCACAGGAACGGACCAGGAAACAGCGCCUUCUCCCUACGGCCGCUGUUUGCGGGUCCCACGUGCUAGUUCUCUGCUUGCUGCCUGGUUGUGCUGAGACUCCAUCGGGAGGUGUACCUGUUUGUGUUGGUUCUGUCUCCACGUCUCCCAUUUCUUGGCUCAUCGCCGGCGCCGUGCAGUCCACGCGCGCAGGAAAGCGUCUCAGCUUUGCCGACCCCUCCGCGUGCUGCUGUCUGUCUGGACGUAGAGCCUCUUUCCUGCCAAGGGGAAUCGUCGGAACCCGCUUGGGAGAGCAGGCCGGGGGUUCCUCUGUGAAGUUUCGUGGGACUGCAGACCCGCCGUGAGGUCUGACAGGCCGGUUCUGUCCCGCCCCGCGGGGCGGCCCCAUCCCCCGCAGCCGCAGGGCCUGCGGGGCCCAUGCGCUCUGCGGGGAAAUGCGGAACCCUGCUUUCACGGCGGGCGGUUCCAGCAGGCCCGAGUGCAGCCGGGCGGCCAGCGUGGUGGCGCCAUGGCGGGGCCUCCGAGGAAGGGAAGGCCCACGCCUCCAGGGUCGCGGCGGGGGGGGACGGAGGGAGCAGUGGGACAGCAGGUGCCAGGCACCACGGCCCCCCGACAGGUGAGGAGGUGCCUCUCCGUGGCCCAGAGGGAGUGCAGUAACUUCGUGACCUUGAGCACGGUGGCCCCGCGGGCCUGGAGUGAGGCGCCUGGGACAGCAGUUUGGCCUGCAAGGACCCCCCACCACACCCGUGUGUCGGGCCCCAUGGCUGGGGCCGAGGGCCGGUCAGAGCAGCCCAUUCCGAAAGGCCCAGGAAAUCGCAGCGAGGCCGAUCCGUGGGAGGCAAGAAUCCCUAGGAGUGUCCCGUGGUUCUCUGGUCCCUGGGGCCUUGUAGGGGCUCCCAGUGCCCGAGCCCCUCUGCAGCCCAGGGCAGGCACCCACUCAGCCGCGGCGGGCGCUGACGGAUCCGUCCUCACAGACCAGCCUGCGGGAUGCUCACGAGCCCCCCAUCUCCCGCUGCUCCUCCCGUUCAGAUCUUGGGUGGCAGCCCAGUGUUGACGGUGGCCCUGAUUUUGCCGCGUGACACCCCAGUGUUCCUCAGACCCGCCAUGCACUGUGACCCCAGGAUUUCCCUGGCUGACACGGUGCUCAGAUACACCAGCUAAGGGACACGCAGGGCUCCACAGUUGGUGAUACCUGUUUGGCACAUCCUGGACCUUGGCUUACCUGGGCAGGGCCUGGACCCUCCCUGCGCACACCGUGCCCUCCCCAGCCCCGUGGUCCCCAGCUCAGCACAGAGGAACGAGUCCGCACACGGGAGGGACGCUUCCAGGAAGGGGGCAAGGGCUUCCUGGAGGAGGGGGCACUGGGCACGACCUUGGGGAAGGAGCCCACCGCCCUGAGGCUGGGCCCUCUGCUCUUCUGGGCAUGUGCAGCACCCAGGGCCCCUCUGGCCACGGGGGUCCAGUGGCCUGUCUCCCCGUGGUCCCCAUGAUCUGGAUUUGCUGCCACAGAGGUCCCCUGGCCUGAGGGUCUCUGAGAACCCACCAGGGAAACAACCCCUGUGGCUUUUCUGCAGCUUUGCUCUCCACACGCGGGUGUGGGAACCCUGUGGAUGCGGCCGUGGGAACCCCCCGUGGACACGGGCGUGGGACACCCCCCACCCCGUGGAUGCAGGCCUGGCCACCCAGGGGCUCACCUCGUCCUGGCCUCAGACUUCCACUUGGAGAGGGUGGUCCCCACGGCGGUGAUGGGCACUGCUCCCACGCCCUUCCCAGCAGUGACCUGCUCUCACCUCCUGCACUCAGCGAAGACCUCCCCAUGGGACAUCAAGUGCCCUCGGUCAGCCCUGAAAAGUGUGAUGUCUCAUCAUGGUUUCUCAACAAAUUGCCCUGAGUACAAUGAAUCAGCUUGCCUACCUUCGAGGCACAACGUUUAGAAGGUCUGUGGUUUUUACACCUGGGAGGAAGAAAAAGAGAAAUCUCCCAGGUGUUUUCAUGGUUCCAAAAAAGGAGAGAUUCGUGGCCACAGGUAUGUCUGGAAACCCUGCCACCUGCACAAAGCUUCUUGUGGAAUUUGCCAGGAAUGUUCCGCGCGGACAAAGGAGGAGCUCCUGCUUUUCUUCCCAGGGGUUGUAGGAGAGUCAGCGAGCCAGAUGCAGAGCUGGGAUCAUGGGCCCACGCAGUGAUGGCGGAGACCCCGAGGCGAGGCAGACGAUGGGCCAGCGCCGCUCUCUGAGCCACGGGAGCGCAUGGACGUGCCGGCCCCACGGAUGGGGUGGGUGAUGUGGCCCCGGGACAGCCCCCUGGAGCUCCAGGCCACUUCUGUGAGGACAGGACGGGGGUGUGUUGGUGACGGCAGGCCACGGAGGGGGCUGCACAAACACGUCCGAGAUUUCUCAUAGACAAGACUGCCCUGCUUCUCUGUGAGUUCUCAGGACUUGACGCUCAGCCGUAGGGAAGCGCGUGGGUUUUUACGAAGAAGGGGUACCAUACUCUAGUUCUAGGUGGUGAGCACAUCAACCAAUGGGGGGGCAAGAUCAGGCCCAGGAGAUGCGCCAGCUCUUUUCUCAUGAUGCUUUAAUAUAAAAGCCUGUAUGUUCAUUGCUCCCACUUUUCUGGUUAAUCGGCCUUUUCCUUCUUGUCCCAUUCAACAGUUUUCGUAUCCACGUUCACAGGCCACCUCAUACCUGUCCACACCAAACAGUAUGUUUAGAAGAUCCCCGUUUAGUGCAUAACCACAUCUCACUUAGACACAUCCUGUGGGUGGCAGAUGAGACCUUGGUCAUGUUGCCACUACGUUUUGGCUUCAAGAAAAGCUGCCGUGGCUGACGAUGAGCCAAGAGGAGUGAGGCGAGGUCCCCGUGGGCCCUGCGGGACACACGGGAAGUGAGUGACCAGGAAGGGGCCUCCCCCGCCCUCCUGGCCCCGACCUCACACAUCCAGCCUCCAGAGCCGCGAACAACACACCUGUGUAAGCCGCCCGGCACGUUGUGCUUUGUGACAGCAGACUGAGGGGACUAGGGCCCCUCGGGGAGCAGUUUUGUGCUAUUGUAAGAUCAUCUGAGCUGUCGUAAAGUCCUGCUUAUAAACUAAAGAAAAGGGAGCAGUUAUGCACCUUACAAGUCAUUUACAAAAUGUUUAAUCAGGUGAUGAAACGACCAGAGGAUUACUAAAAUGCCCACUCUUCUUAUACCCCAAAAUAACUCUAAACCUUGGUAAGAAAGACUCCAAAUUUGACAUUUAAAAUGAAUAAUAUUAUCACUAGGAAAAACCAUAUAGGGCUUAUUAAACAUGGGGACUGUGGUUUGGCUCCCUUUAAAAGAAGGUUUAAUUAGUAGGCUUUGCUUUCCUUGUUAGAGCAGAAAGCGAGCGGAGAAGGCUGAGCUCCCACGUCCCCCACACGGCUCGUCCCCACUGUGGCGGCCUGUGUCUCACGUCGGCGGGGAGGGCUCACCACCUCUGCGAGUCUGUUGACACAGGAUUGUAAACCGAGGUCCCCAGCUUACAGCAGGAUUCACCCCUGUGUCUGACAUUCUAAGGGUACGACAAACUGACAAACAUCCACUCGUUUGGCUCCUGCGUAUUAGGUGCAAAGCCAAACGGGGCCUUCCAGAGAUUCGAAUGUGGGGGCAAUCCUCUUUGUUAUAUUUUUCCUUCUGAAAACAUGACCUUUAAGGGAAUGUUUUAACCACUGGCCACAGUUCUGCACACACCCACGAGCACGUUGUCUUAUCUAUUGCAGGGUGUGUUGCCAAUUUGCCGACGAGUAGCUCAGAGCGGUUUUUCCUUCUGAGUGUAAGCGUAUACUCACAACAGAAUCUUCGAUUCAAGCUACAGCUUGGUUUCGUGCAAGCGUUUUAGUUUUCCGGGCUAUAAUCUCUCCCAUGUGAACACCUGCACCCAUCCGUUCGUGCGUUUGCUCGCUUGUCCGUGCUUUCUGCCCAGGUGCCCGUCACCCUACAGACUGAGGUUUCAGCCCCAUCUCUUCUCAGAAAGCACAGGCUUUGUUCAGACAGACCCAGGCUGGGGCUAGAGUCAGCGCAUUGCUCACACCAUCGUCACCUCUGGUCCCACCACUGUGGCUUCAGGCGGUCCCAGGACAGGAAAGGGAGAGGAACAGGGAGCAGAGGGAAGAAAUCAACAAGUGGGGAUUUCCUGCUCAUCCGAGUGAAUCAACAGCCCCGUUAUCCCUGGGAAUUUAAUUUUAGCUCUUAAAACUUGGUCUUUUAUACUAGUAUAAAUACCAAAAUUAUAAAAUGUGCAAAUUUGUCUAGAUGAAAAUUCCUAUGUUGCUCUUGACAUUAUUUCCCCCCUGAAAGUCACAAGCUGUGCACCGUAUGAAAGUGGACAUUCUUUCUUUCAUUCGUUCUUUCUUUCUUUCUUUCAGUGGACAUCCUUUCGUUGUCAGUGUAUCUGAGGUUGACACAGGAAAAGUAUUUAGACACAGAAAAGCUGUUUUAUUCCUAAUUGUUCCAGGCAUCUAAAUGUCGGGAAACAGCCCUGUACUGGGGCCAGGUGCUUUGUGCUCGGAGGACCACCGGGCGUGACACUGCUGAGACGCGGGAGGCUGGGGUCUGGUCCGGUUUACCCCCAGUGGCAUCUCCCAGAGCACAGCCACCACCAGCUAGGCGUUGCCGGGGGCCCUUUGACCUGCCAGCACACAGGUGAGGGGACAGGCUUGGCCACCCUCGUCCUGCCCCUCGAUCUGCCCCUACCUAGCUGGCACGUGUAAUCUCUGGGGGGGAGAAGCAGAUGCAGUGGAGACACUUCGUAGGCAAGGCGCUCCAGAACGUGCACCAGAGUCACCCAGAACUCCGAUGAUGUUCACAUCUGACCAAUUCCCAGUCCACACCUAAGACUGGAACGCACACUGAUUAGCCAUUCUGGAACACACCACGCACACCUGAGUGCAUGCCAGGCUGCCCACCCUGUCUGGGUGUGCCUUGUUCACAGCAACACGCAUGCAAACUCAGCCCCUCUCCAGAGGGACGCUCUUUUUACUAAACCUUUCCUUCUGUAUUCUUUCAAGCUUCAUGACAACAAGCACGGAGAGGGGGGUAAUUGUGCAGAAAAUCCAAAUGAAGCUACAGAUAAAUGCUGAGGAUUGAGAGUGAAUUUAAUGAAGGCAUGGAAUUGGGGGUCGGUGAUAAAGAUGUUCUAGAAUUGGCUGGGAUGGUUGCCUAAUUCUGUGAAUAUACUGAAAAACAUUGAAUUUUAAAUGGAUGAAUUACGUGGCAUGUGAAUUAUGUCUUAAUAAAGUUGCUGUUUUGAACAGUGAGUUUAGCAAGAACGCUGGAUAUAAAAUAAACGCACAAAGGUCAACUGUACUUAUAUAGACCUGUAACAAAUAAUGAGGGAAAUAAAAAGAGACUUUUAAAGGGACACCAUCUCCAUAGCAUUGAAGAAAUAUCAACUAUCCCUAAUAAAUCCCACAAAAGGUUCUGGAAACUAUAAAACAUUUAUUAAGGUAGGUUAAGGAAGACCUAAC
Molecule: long non-coding RNA, 6256 nt
Organism: Mirounga angustirostris (Northern elephant seal)
Lineage: Eukaryota; Metazoa; Chordata; Mammalia; Carnivora; Phocidae
Exons: 3
Source: RefSeq, a predicted model, not a curated record